RNAcentral lists this ribosomal RNA (253 nucleotides) under uncultured bacterium. RNAcentral describes it as "partial 16S ribosomal RNA". It matches the Rfam family "Bacterial small subunit ribosomal RNA", at positions 524 to 776 of the family's 1533-position model. The record is from RNAcentral.
UACGAGGGGGGCAAGCGUUGUUCGGAAUUAUUGGGCGUAAAGGGCGCGUAGGCGGUGCGGUAAGUCACCUGUGAAAACUCUGGGCUCAACUCAGAGCCUGCAGGCGAAACUGCCGUGCUUGAGUGUGGGAGAGGUGCGUGGAAUUCCCGGUGUAGCGGUGAAAUGCGUAGAGAUGUGGAGGAACACCAGUGGCGAAGGCGACUCUUUGGCCUGUAACUGACGCUGAGGCGCGAAAGCGUGGGGAGCAAACAGG